CGCUCCCUACGGGAGGCAGCAGUGGGGAAUAUUGCACAAUGGGCGCAAGCCUGAUGCAGCGACGCCGCGUGAGCGAAGAAGUAUUUCGGUAUGUAAAGCUCUAUCAGCAGGGAAGAAAAUGACGGUACCUGACUAAGAAGCUCCGGCUAAAUACGCGCCAACAGCCGCGGUAAUACGUAUGGAGCAAGCGUUAUCCGGAAUUACUGGGUGUAAAGGGAGCGUAGACGGAUGUGCAAGUCUGGUGUGAAAGGCGGGGGCUCAACCCCUGGACUGCAUUGGAAACUGUAAAUCUUGAGUGCCGGAGG
RNAcentral lists this ribosomal RNA (305 nucleotides) under uncultured bacterium. Its description in RNAcentral is "bacterial SSU rRNA". It matches the Rfam family "Bacterial small subunit ribosomal RNA", at positions 334 to 655 of the family's 1533-position model. The record is from RNAcentral.